GACGAACGCUGGCGGCGUGCUUAACACAUGCGAGUCGAACGAUGAGCCCGGAGCUUGCUCCGGUGGAUUAGUGGCGAACGGGCGAGUAACACGUGAGUAACCUGCCCUUGACUCUGGGAUAACUGCGGGAAACUGUAGCUAAUACCGGAUACGACCCUCGGCGGCAUCGCCAGGGGGUGGAAAGAAUUUCGGUCAAGGAUGGACUCGCGGCCUAUCAGCUAGUUGGUGAGGUAACGGCUCACCAAGGCGACGACGGGUAGCCGGCCUGAGAGGGUGACCGGCCACACUGGGACUGAGACACGGCCCAGACUCCUACGGGAGGCAGCAGUGGGGAAUAUUGCACAAUGGGCGCAAGCCUGAUGCAGCAACGCCGCGUGAGGGAUGACGGCCUUCGGGUUGUAAACCUCUUUUAGUAGGGAAGAAGCGAAAGUGACGGUACCUGCAGAAAAAGCACCGGCUAACUACGUGCCAGCCGCCGCGGUAA
This 484-nucleotide ribosomal RNA is filed under the name uncultured bacterium. RNAcentral describes it as "partial 16S ribosomal RNA". It matches the Rfam family "Bacterial small subunit ribosomal RNA", at positions 28 to 523 of the family's 1533-position model. The record is from RNAcentral.